ACUGGACUAUUUUUUAUGUCACACUUUGAUAAGCACAGGAUUGUAAAUUGUGAUAUAGGGCUGAGAGAUAUUUCGGACCAUGCAGGCGUGUACCUGACACUCCAUCUGCACUCAUGGACGCUUCAUAUUGGUCUACUAAAGGAUGUAAAAUUCAAAAGGUUUGUAAAAGAAGAAUUUAAGGAAUACAUGGACUAUAAUAACAAUGGUGAUGUUUCUCCUCAGUAUUUUAUGGGAUGCAGCGAAGGCAGUUCUUAGAGGGAAUCUAGUUUUGUGGUCCUCAUAUAAAAAAAGGAAACAGAGAAACAUCUAAAAGACCUCAUUGAAAAGUAACAAUGAUGACACCUUAUCACAAAUGAAAGAAGCACAACAGAUAUUAAACAGGUUAUAUGAUGACCAAAUAGAGAAAAGGGCUAAAUUCAUGCAGAAUUAUUAUGAAAAUGGUCCCAAAUCCAAGAAGCCAAGAGGAAACAGCAGGCUGACAGAUUUAUUCAGAGAAUUAAAAACCCAGCAAAUGAUAAGAUAUGACAUGAAAAGCAUAAAGAAUCUUUUGUGACCUAUUAUACCCGACUGUACGCAGAACCCACCACGACAGAUGUGCCCUCUGUUAAUGCAUUUCUUUCCUUGAUUUACCAUCGAUAGGAACAAAAUAAAAGAUUAACACCAACAGUAACUGCGGAGGAGAUUAACCAGGCCGUUUCAAAUAAGAUGGCCGGUGAGGACGGCUACCCGGCAGAGUGGUACAAGCAGAGAUCUCGUAGCCCCUCUGCUGAGGGUUUGCUUUAACCAUGUGCUUACAGGGGGAGAUACCCCCAUCCUGGAAACGAGCAGGUAUUUCAGUAAUUCCCAAACCGGGUAAGAACAAAACAGAACGUGGUUCCUACAGACCCAUAUCAGUCGUGAAUAUUGACUACAGGAUAUUUGCAACACUAUUAGCUAAACAGUUGGAAUUUAUAACUUCAGAACUAGCAGAUACAGAUCAAACAGGCUUUGUUCGAAACGGACAAACUCACGAUGAUGUGAGGCGGGCUCUCGUUCUAGUAAACAAAAUAAAAAAUAUCAAAUCAGUAGCUGUCUGACUGUCUGACUGCUGGAAUGGAAGUGUGGGGAAAUAAAAAUACAACUAAUCCAUGAGUCACAGUACAGAAACGAGCACUGCGUAUUAUUCACAAGGCUGGUUAUCUAGAUCAUACUCACAAACUCUUUCUUCAGGCAAAGUUACUUAAAUUCCAGGAUCUGGUUAAUUACAAUACAUCCAUAAUUU
Astatotilapia calliptera (eastern happy) is the source of this 1261-nucleotide long non-coding RNA. NCBI's taxonomy places the organism in Eukaryota, Metazoa, Chordata, Actinopteri, Cichliformes, Cichlidae. The record is from Ensembl.